Long non-coding RNA from Myzus persicae (green peach aphid), 672 nucleotides. RefSeq lists it as uncharacterized. The transcript is spliced from 2 exons. Lineage: Eukaryota; Metazoa; Arthropoda; Insecta; Hemiptera; Aphididae. The record is from RefSeq and is a predicted model, not a curated record.
ACUGCUAUAUUGUAUUAUCUAAAUACUUUUACUAAAUACUAUAGGUACCUAUUUACUUAUUACCUAAUAUUUAUACUUUAUUUUUAAAAUCUUAAUAACUAACGAUUUUACUAGGUGCUUAUGUAUAAUUGUAUUAAUAUCUAAUUAAUAUUUACAAGAAUAGAUACAAUAUAAAUACUAUAUAAUAAAUUCAAACCCAUGUACAAAAAAUAUUUGUUCCAGUCUUCAUCCCUUGGGAAAAAAGUCUAGCCUUGGACCCGCCUACCUAUUCACAAUAGUUACAAACAUUUGAAAAUUAAUUUGAUCCAAAAAUGUAUACAAUUUUCAGUACAAUACAUAAUGAAGUGCAUAUAAUGCGCAUCUGUCACGCAGGAACUUGGUACCUACCUACCUACCUCUAUCGGCUCAUACGUCAACGCUUCUAGGCCAUGAGUAUAAGAUCUGUGGUGAUUUAUUACCUUUUUGAUAAUAGAUCUAUAAACUUAUGGACACAGCUUAAAGAGAGAGCAAUCAGUAGAUAAGAUAGCCAAGAGAGAAAAACUAUUCAUUUGAGACGCUUCAGUGCUUUUCCCUCAUUCUAUCUUGUCUCCAUGAACUUUAGGCAAAGUGAUGUGGUAGGCCAGUUCCAUUAAUUUAUAGGUCUGUGGCUUUAAUAAAUAGAUACUAGAUAUU